GUCUGAUUGUUUCCACCUGUGUCCAAUCACCUGCACCUAAAUACACAGUGUAUUUAAGCCCUGUGGCGUCAUUGUUCAGUCUUACCCGGUGUUGGAGCACGUCUCGGUUUUGGUUUAGAAUAAAGAGCACCUGUUUGAGUCCUCCCUGCAACCCGCACCAGCAGCCACCUGACAAACCACUAAAGGCUGGACAGAUGUCCUUCUUCAAUAAGGCCAAUCUCACAUCUGGAUUACUGCGCCACUGGGAUCAGCUGUUCUUAAGUUUAUUUCCAUGGCAAAUCCUGCUCCUGUUUUGAAGACAUCCUGCUUCUAGUCGGCUCCACGACGUAACGCGGGUGAAAAUGUCAUCUUCCCGGAGGGCUUCUACUCAGCCGCUGCAUUCCGGCGGGGGCUUAACUUUUGUAUUCGCUCUCAUCUCAUGGAGAAGAGACAGAAGGUGGGCUAUCCAGCGAAUCAGCAAGGAAGCCAAUCCCCCAGCCGAGAAGAGAGCGAAAGCAACAAGCAAGCUGCCAGGCAGAUGAUGCUCCAAUUGCCAAACACCUCCAGUAGCCAAGUGGUGCUCUUCCUCUUUCUAUCAGCGGACAAUGAAACCAACAAUUCUCUUCCUCCUCGUCUUCUUGGACCGGAGACGUUAAAACGUCUGGCUCGAGGGGGGGGCCGUCCCCUCAGCCCAAGCAGCCCUGUCCAUGCCCACGCAUGCUAAAACCCCCUGUGCUGUCCUCCCCGUGUGGCCGGAAUGAUUUUGGGGAGCAAUGACAGACGGACGGACGGACCCAGGAAAGAUGUUCUGUGGCCAGAGCAUGCAUUUGUGCUUUCACUUGAUCCAUGCAAAUCUGAUUUGCUGUGUUUAAUGCAAUCACCCGAGGCUAAAAGCAAAGACAGUACGAAAGAAUCGGCCACAUACAACAUCCGUAUGUGUGGGAGACGUCCCCUCGGCACAGAUUAUUCACAAAAGGGCCUGCGAGCGAGAGAUGUGAAUAACUUAUGACCCUGGCAAAAACCUGUGUACUGUCCAUGGGUGGACCGAUGGGC
Molecule: long non-coding RNA, 1032 nt
Organism: Pungitius pungitius (ninespine stickleback)
Lineage: Eukaryota; Metazoa; Chordata; Actinopteri; Perciformes; Gasterosteidae
Exons: 3
Source: RefSeq, a predicted model, not a curated record